This 2459-nucleotide long non-coding RNA is filed under the name Setaria viridis. Its description in RNAcentral is "long non-coding RNA (SVIR_LNC001072)". Lineage: Eukaryota; Viridiplantae; Streptophyta; Magnoliopsida; Poales; Poaceae. The record is from RNAcentral.
AGAACACCAGGAAUAGUGGCCACUGAUAAAACAUUUUCGCUUUCCUGAGCAAGAAAAUUCAGCUUACAUCCAGCGGAAGAAUACUGACAAAAUACACUUGUACUAGGAAUGAAAGGAAGAACUCAUUUUCAGCUCAGUAUAGGACGCCCUUGAUGUUAUCAGAAAAAACAAAGUGAAAAAUAGGGACACCACAUCAUCGACAUCCUCUUGUCCUACUUAUGUUCUUCUAGCUCCACAUCCACCAUUCCAUUCUCACUCUCUUCUUCUCUUCAAGUUCCACUCACGAGGCUUGGAGGGAAGAAGAGAAGCUUAGCCCAGAACAAAGGCCGGCAAGCAAAAAAAUGGCGAUCAGCAGCGCGCACACCACCACCUCUCUGCACUCCCCAUGCACAACCGUCUCGAACGCAGGAUUCAGGCAGAAGCAAGUCAUCUUCUUCACCAGCAACAGGAGAGGCGGCAGAAGGCACGGAGGGGCAAGAACCUUCCAGAUUUCAUGCUCCGUCGAGAAGCCAGUGGUGAUUGGCCUGGCAGCAGACUCGGGAUGCGGGAAGAGUACCUUCAUGCGCCGGCUCACCAGUGUGUUUGGUGGUGCCGCAGAGCCACCCAAGGGCGGGAACCCGGACUCCAACACGCUCAUCAGUGACACCACGACCGUGAUAUGCCUUGAUGACUACCAUUCCUUGGACAGAACCGGGAGGAAGGAGAAGGGUGUGACAGCCCUCGACCCAAGGGCGAACAACUUUGAUCUCAUGUAUGAGCAGGUGAAGGCAAUCAAAGAAGGCCAGACAAUUGAGAAGCCAAUCUACAACCAUGUCACUGGCCUCCUCGACCCACCAGAGGUUAUCACGCCCCCAAAGAUUUUUGUCAUUGAGGGCUUGCACCCAAUGUAAGCUCAGUCUAUGCCCAUGCUCCACUUGCGGCUACUACUCUGGCUCAUUCUCUCAUAGUAUAUGGUGUUUGUUCUUUUGUUUCUUCAUUAUAUUCAUGGCUACAAUAAGUUUCCCCAGACAAACUUCAAUUCUCUGGUGCCUUGAGUUAAAAGAGCAAGUCAAAAUAACAGGAUUGUGUUAGAAACCAUGAAAACAAGCAGAAUUAUUUUCUCUUUCUAAUAUCUAAUUACCACUUAUUUGUUUCAAUCAGGUUCGAUGAGCGUGUGAGGGACCUACUAGAUUUCAGUAUUUACUUGGACAUCAGUGAUGAGGUUAAGUUUGCAUGGAAAAUUCAGGUCAGCUGAACAGAAAUAAUUAUAUUUUUCUUGUUCCUCAUGAGUCAUAAAAGGGACUUUUAUGCUGUUUUCUAUCAUCUAAAAUAUAUCACCGAUACUUUGGCAGCGGGACAUGGCAGAGCGUGGGCACAGCCUUGAAAGCAUCCAGGCUAGUAUUGAAGCGAGGAAACCAGAUUUUGAUGCCUUCAUCGGUACAGCAUUCUGUCAACUUUGUCUUUUUUAAUUGAAGUCGCAAGUUAUGUUAUGAUCAGCCUAAGUUGUUUCUGGAUAAAAAAAGACUAUGCAACAAAAUGCUACAUCAACUAAUGAAAUUCAAACUCAACAAAAUGAAGACAUGUUAACGCUUACCACUCGGUGUGACAGAUCCGCAGAAGCAAUAUGCUGAUGCUGUGAUUGAAGUUCUGCCAACCCAGUUGAUUCCUGAUGACAAUGAAGGAAAGGUGCUGCGUGUUAAAUUGAUCAUGAAAGAAGGCGUGAAGCACUUCAACCCAGUUUACCUCUUCGAUGAAGGAUCAAGCAUCAGCUGGGUACCUUGUGGAAGAAAGCUCACAUGCUCUUACCCUGGCAUCAAAUUUGCAUAUGGCCCGGACACUUACUUUGGCCAUGAGGUAAUUCAUCUCUGUUUAUUUGUCUUCUUCAGUCAGGAAAAAGUUUGUCUGUUACUUGGAAACUAACUUGACACCUGAUAACGAUCUAGCUAGUAGUUCAAAUUAGGAUUUAAAAAAAGACCAAACCACUUUUAAACUAGUGAUCAAGAAUUUCCUUGGCUGACAAACUAAACUGUUGAUCAGUCUCUACCUGACCCAAAGUUUUUAGAGUUAGCAUUUGCUUGAUGUAUUCAGGUAUCAGUGCUGGAGAUGGAUGGGCAAUUUGACAGACUAGAUGAGCUCAUCUACGUGGAGAGCCAUCUAAGCAACCUCUCAACUAAAUUCUACGGAGAGGUGACACAGCAAAUGCUAAAGCAUGCAGACUUCCCAGGAAGCAACAAUGGAACAGGUCUCUUCCAGACCAUCGUUGGACUGAAGAUUAGAGAUCUCUAUGAACAGAUAGUUGCUGAGAGGGCUGGUGCACCAGUUGAGUCAGCGAAAGUUUAAUGAUCUCCACAUUCAGAUUUCCUACACCUCUUCAAACUCAAUGAGAAUGAGAAUCCUCGCAUUUCCUGUAAUUAGUUCGGAUAUAUCACAGCUAGAAGGAGGUAGAAAUGUCAUUGCAGUGCUCAGGAAAACAUGCAAUG